AAACAGAAACUAGAGAAGAGGAAUACAAAGAAGCUGAGGCACAGAGAGAAAAACCGGAGCAGCACGUACUCGUUUCACUGCUGACGUGUGGUGGUGCGGCCGUGGCCGUCAUCCUCAUUGCCAUGAAGGGAAGUGGCCAUGGAGGACCUGGGGGAAAACACCACUGUCCUGUCCAUGCUGAGGUCUUUGAACAGCUUCAUUUCUCAGCGAGUGGAGGGAGGCUCUGGAUUGGAUGUUCCCGCCUCUGCCCCAGGUUCUCUGCAGAUGCAGUACCAGCAGAGCUUGCAGCUGGAGGAGCGGGCAGAGCAGAUCCGCGCCAAGUCCCACCUCAUCCAGGUGGAGCGUGAGAAGAUGCAGUUGGAGCUGAGCCACAAGAGGGCGCGCGUGGAGCUGGAGCAGGCUGCCAGCACCAGUGCCAGGCGCUACGAGAUGGAAUCCACCCAGCACCAUGGCCAGAUACAGACAUUGCCACAGCCGUAACCAGAGCAGAUGCCGCUGCCAGCGACCAAGAAGUCACAGAAGGAGGAGGCAAUGCUGCCAGAGGCGGAGAAAAAGAGUGUGCUAUCGUUGCUACACUGUGACGUCCAGAAGAUGUGAAAGGCACACGAGCAACUCCGCCACACUCCUGCCUGAAAUCGCUUCAGGUUUCGAGACCCUCUUGCAGCAUCUUGCGAAUGCCACCCUCACAAGGAAAUGAACAGGAGCCUCCUGUCAAAUGUUGAAAAAGCAAUUCAACUCUUGUCUCUUUGCCUUGACAGGAGCUCAGGAGGGGAGGGCUUGGGGAUGACUGGAAGAGGGGACAGGAGGAGCGGUUGUCAUACUGGAUCUUGUCCCAAUCUCUGACUACUCUGACUACUCCCAAGCCACAACCCAAAUCUGCCUCACCCAGUGCCCUAUUGAUCCCUCCCCAGCAGGGCCAGGAGCUGCUCAUGCUGGGUUCUGGGCCCGUCUCCAUCUCUGUGCUCACUGGCUUUCUAUUGGCAGCUUGAAAUGGGCCACAAACUGACAAAUGGUGCAAAUGCGGGCUUACUCCUCCCCACCCAAGAGAUUCCACACCAUUUGAGUUAGUGGUCUGGACAGGGCCAAGGCCCUCCCUGUCCGACCAGCAACCUGGUGCCAUCCUUGCUGCCCACCUAUGCAUGGUGUCAAACAGCAAGUCCAGCCUCUUUUAGAGAUGGGGCAACAGGCUGUCAUCUGACAGCUCAGGGUUGUGCUGCUGCUAAGACACGGUGCUGUGUGGGAGCUCACACCUGUCCUCUCUGUGCCCUGUGAGUAGCAAUGGUGGUGGCCUCAGUCUGUGGGAUUCCGCCUGCCUUGGCUGUCCUGCCUGUCCGCAUGCAGCCUGGUCCUUACUGCACCCUGUUCUGCUCCUCUGCACCCCACAGGGGUGUCCCCCACGCCCAUCACUCACUGGCUGUAGCUCCUUGCCCUGCGUUCCCACCCCCCACUUGCUGUCCUGCCUAGGGUUCUUACUCCUGAAGGGCAGGGUCUGCGCCGACUUUCGCCUCUUCCCCAUUUUUUCCCGCUGUGUGACGGGCGACCCACCCACUUCACGGGAUCAGGGCAGUUGGGCUCUGUUGUCCUACCUGACUUGUGAGCGCCGCUUUGCUGUCUGGCAGCUGCCUGUGAACUGGAGUCUCUUCUGUGAGUUUGGGUCUCAAGGAGCAGCCUCCUGUCCCCACCACUGCCACCACUGGCCCGGCCUUGCUUCCUGCCCUCCUGCCUUGGGCAGUCAUAUUCACAUUCUGUCCACUCAGGCUCAGAUUCAGACCCUACUUUUUUCUGUUAAAAUACCUUGUCUCACUUUCACUUGAUAGUGUGUGUCGCCCAGCAUGUGGUUUCCAAGUUAACGUUGGUCCUGCUUCGGCGAUGGCCCUCCUCUCCCACAGAUAAGGGGGAUCCUCUGAGCUUUAAAUUCUAAUUUUCAGGUGUUAACAUAUUGUCCAUUCAAGUCACCUUUCUAGGUUGACGUUUCUGUUGCACCCAUUUAAGUGAAAAAGCCACCUGUUUUCUUAGGGGAAGAUGAUGUUUGCAAAGUUACUAGAAAGCCAAUCUUGUUGUCAUUUAUUACUGCAUUACUAGGUGCGGCUGGGGCUGGGUUGCAGCAGAAAAAAAUUCCAGAAAGAAAAAAAAUUUUAGGAAAUGUAAUAAAAUCAAAACAAAAUGUCUUUUCGCCCUCUCCAGUUUGAAGAUGUUUGUUAAGAUAGGGUCUGUGGGAGUGUGGAGGAGACGAGCCUGUGGCUGCCUCUGGCCGCUGUCUCAGAUGGGCUGGAGCAGGGCAGGGGGCAGGGGCAGCGGGCCUUCCUGCUUGUCCCCCAUGGGCUGGCAUCCUGGCUUCUCAGCCCUGCCCUGGCACCCCACCCACCAAGGGCUGCCCUGCGCCCUCAGGGCCUUCUCUGCCCCUGGGCCUUAGUUGGGGCGUCUGGAAGCUGCAUUCUGCUGUGUUCAGACAACUCCGUCUUUAUUCUUCACUAACUCUGUACGCUCAGGAGAGCCCCCACCACACCCACUGCUGUCCACGCCAGGGCCCCAGAAGCCUCGGGGAAGUGCUGGGGUGGUGUGUGGCCCUUGCAGUGCCUUCACAAAGGGCCGUGAAUUUGGGGGAGGCAGGGUGGGAGGGGCUCAUGUCCCACCAGGCAUGCGUGGCUCCUCUGCAGGGGUCUUUGUGGUGUGUAUGUGAUGGGAAACCCAGUGCUUUCCACUCCAUAAGUGCCUCCUCGGGGAUACUGAUGAGAUGAAAGUGUCAGCGUUGGAGAUAACAGCUCGAGUGAAGUGCCCCCCUGAGGCACUGUUUGAACCAGACCUAUUUUCUUCCGCAAGGAGUAAUUGCCCACAUCCCCAUUCAUGACUGCAGAUUAAAUCUGAGCAACUUGAAAAGACUUGGAAAUGCCUGGCUUUGGUUACAGGAGCCAAUGACCUGCCCCCCUUGCAUGAGGCCACUGGCAUGGGAUCACCAACUCCCUGGCAUAUUGGUGCCAUUGGAGCUAGACAACUGCCCAAAACCCAGAGCCUGCCUGAGCCCAGCACCCCAUCUUCCUGGCACAUCCACCCCAUGCGGGCCUGGCAAGUGCAGGGCAGGGCAGUGAAGAUGGCCCCUCCCACCUCCCCCUGCUUCUCCCUGCACCGCUGGGUCUUUGCAUGUACCCCUCCGCCUCCCUGGCUCCUUCACAUGCACCACCCUUCCACCUGCUCUGGCUCACCUGCCAUCUCUGUCUCUCCUGAGAGGGCAGGGCCUCAUCCAUGUGGGUCACCAGCAGUUAGCAGGCAGUAGGCACUCAGGAGAUGCCUGGUAAACAUUCAUUUGCCGGUGAGGAAACUGAGGUCCAGGGAGGGUGGCGCCAAGGAGCCGAGGAGCACGCUCCCACCUCUGUCCCCUGUGUGGCCGUGCGGCCCCCAGUCCCGGCUGUUGCCUCUGCCUCUGAGCGGCCCCUCCACCCUCCUGCAGGACUUGAGUGUGCCCUGCAUGUGGACAGGCUGCUCUGUUGCCACCCUUCUUGCUGCCAUCAGCUGGGGGUUUGGGGUUUGCCCUCCAGGUAAAGGGCUGCAGAGAGGCCCUCUCACCUCGUCAGGCCCUGAAAGUGCCUGUGCUGGGUGCCUUGGGCAGCUUCUGGUUUUCUUUCCACAGUGGUCAUCCUCUAAGCUGGGUUCCCACCCCCCAGGUGUCUGGAAGACUGCACCCUGCCCUCUGGGCACACCCUGCAGGCAGUUCUCCUAGGCCUGCCUCCUCCCACUUCCAGCCCCCUGGGGUGUUGUCAGCCCUUUCCUGCUGUUUCUUCAGACUCCCUGGAUCGUGCUCCCCCUUGUGAGAAAUCAGCAACUGCACAAUUUGUGUGUGUCCAUUUCAACAGCACACAUGUGACCCAACGAUGAAAUGUGAGAUGACUCAACAUGACGUUUGUUUUUAAUGUUUUUGAAAAACAAAGUUACUUACACAAAAAUUAACAUGAGUAGGAUUUCCUUUCUCCUGUACACCUCUGAACUGCCCUGAGCAGCCCUUGAGCGCAGGCUCCCUGCACCGGGGGGACCGUGGGUCAUACCCAAGACUGUUCCCAGCUGUGGUGGAGAAGCUGGGCUGGGCCACCACACCGGCCUUAAGUGCUGCUCGGGCAGGCGUGGGUGGUACCGCCUGGUCCUCUCUGGCCGUUCCCUGCUCACCGCGCUGUCCCCGUUUGUCCUUGUUUUGGCUCUCCCACCUUGGAAGUUGGCCCCCUGGGGUUGGCCUUUGUGGAGGGUCAGUGCCAGGUAGCUUGUUCACGGCUCUGGGGGACCUCAGGGGCCAGGGCCCAGGGUGGGACCGGGGAGAUGAGAG
This is a long non-coding RNA of Manis pentadactyla (Chinese pangolin), 4309 nucleotides long. RefSeq lists it as uncharacterized. Lineage: Eukaryota; Metazoa; Chordata; Mammalia; Pholidota; Manidae. The record is from RefSeq and is a predicted model, not a curated record. The transcript is spliced from 5 exons.